Molecule: ribosomal RNA, 301 nt
Filed under: uncultured bacterium
Lineage: Bacteria
Description: partial 16S ribosomal RNA
Rfam family: Bacterial small subunit ribosomal RNA
Source: RNAcentral
CAGUCGCCGCGGUAAUACGGAGGGAGCUAGCGUUAUUCGGAAUUACUGGGCGUAAAGCGCACGUAGGCGGCUUUGUAGGUUAGAGGUGAAAGCCUGGAGCUCAACUCCAGAAUUGCCUUUAAGACUGCAUCGCUUGAAUCCAGGAGAGGUGAGUGGAAUUCCGAGUGUAGAGGUGAAAUUCGUAGAUAUUCGGAAGAACACCAGUGGCGAAGGCGGCUCACUGGCCCAUAACUGACGCUGAGGCACGAAAGCGUGGGGAGCAAACAGGAUUAGAUACCCCAGUAGUCCCUGUCUCUUAUAC